AUGAAUUUUAGGACGUUCUUUUUAGAAGUCCGACCCUUUCAUUUUCUUACACUGUGCACACACUUCUUUUUUACACACACUUUUAACACCUUAGUAUAAGAAUGUAAUAGUCUCUUAAUUGAGCAUAAAUAAAAAC
This 136-nucleotide unclassified non-coding RNA is filed under the name Cystobasidium minutum. RNAcentral describes it as "ITS 1". Lineage: Eukaryota; Fungi; Basidiomycota; Cystobasidiomycetes; Cystobasidiales; Cystobasidiaceae. RNAcentral also lists the same sequence under 1 other name. The record is from RNAcentral.